Odocoileus virginianus texanus is the source of this 5043-nucleotide non-coding RNA. NCBI's taxonomy places the organism in Eukaryota, Metazoa, Chordata, Mammalia, Artiodactyla, Cervidae. The record is from RefSeq and is a predicted model, not a curated record.
CUGGACCGGAGCCCUGCGGGCACUCGGCGCGCGGCGCAUCAUUACCUGGCCAGUGUAGUUUUCCCCGAGCCCGGGAGGCCUCGCAGGAGAGGGUGUCCCAGGCAGCAUGGAUGGGGCAGCAGGAGGACACACAGCUUUGGGGACUAGAAGUUUGGGCACACUGAGACUGCAGUGUCGCUGGCAGCUGGAGCACUGAAGGAGGUGCUGGGAAAUGUGAGUGUGCUGUGAGAAGAGAGGUCUUGAGCUGGAGGCAAGCGCUUUGGAAAUUCCUGCCCUGUACGAAGACGGAGAAUAGAGCAGACAGCUGAAGUCGGGGCUUCGGGAUCACACUUAAGGUCUGUGCACCACCCCCCCAAAGUGGAUCUGUUGAAAGAAAGUACAAGGGACAGACAGAACUCUAAGAGAGUGUGUAAAGCCCAGGGAGGGAGAGCUGGAGGAGGAGAAAAUGUCUGGCAGUAUCUGAAAGUGACCCUAGACACUUCUCCUUUCUCUUAGCUCUCAGAUUUAACUGGUCAAUAGGCUCUGUUUUCCCCAAUUUAUUUCUCAGAACCACAGUUUGUUUAAAGCUGUUUGUGUAUCUGUUUCUUACCACUAGACUAAGUUCAAAGGCAAAGACAGUGUCACCCUUGUCACCCCAAGAGCUAACACAGCGUCUGACAUUCAGAGGUGCUCAAUAAUUGUAUAUGGACCUGAACUGCCUUCCCAGUAAAUGAGUCUGAGGGUGGGCUUUACUAAAGAUUAAGACUGAACAAAGAUAGAGACGACUUCAAUUGAGGAGUAAUGUAAACACAGUCAGUGACCACAUCAGCAGUUCUGAGGGCCACAGUACUCUCAGAUAACGUCUACGGUCAGAUCCUCACUGGCCCUAACGAGGUGGCAGCCUCCAGAGAGGAGGGCUACCCUGGGUCAGAGGAUCCCUGCGAUUAACACUCCUUCAUGCCCUCAGUUCAUCCAACCAGGUUUUUCAGCUCUAAAGUUCUAUUCCAUUUCUCUAGAAUGUGAUGACCAGCACAAUCUCACUUUGCUGUCCUACAAACCAUUACUAUGAUGAGGUAAAGAAAAUAAUCUUAGAAGUAGUUUUUGGCAAGCAAAGAAACAUUCAAAUCUUUCUCUAAUUAUUACUGUUUAACAAGAUGUGGAAAAACAAGGGGGUACACAGGAAGAGCUCAUGGAAACCGGAAAUUUAACCCUUGAACCUACAGUUCCAAAUACUCCACAAUUUGGAAUGCUUAAAUCAGCCCCAAGUUUCUCCCCUGCAGAUGCCAUAUAGCAGAAAGUCUGAAACCAAGAUGAAGCUUCCAAAGCAGUGUAAGCAAAGACCCUGUAACAGAGUAGAACCAUUUAAAAUACAGAGGUAGUAGCUUCUCAAUUCUCAUUCUAUGUCCUUUCUUCCCCUACCAAAAGCUUUUAUCUGAUUUCCCUACCAAAAGUUUUGAUAGAUUUUUUUACUCAAAAAAAGUCUUAUAUAAAUUUUUACCUUGUUACAUAUAUAUAUAUGACAUGAACUGAAAGAAUAGGGAAGCAUCCAUCUGUUCCUGUUUAGCUGUUUCUCUGGGGGACCCCUCGUUGCUCUAGCACCUCCAGCUUUCACCUUCCACCAGUCUGCACUGCACUAUUUGGCCAUUCAGAGGUAGCGCCUCUCUACUUAAAACUCCUUCCUCCUGGCUCUUCCCUCGUCCUUCCCCUAGAAGCUGGAUGAAGGAUACAGGAAGCUGGAAGAGGUUAGGGAAGGGGGACAAUGGGAGGGCAGUCAUGCAGAGUGUCUGCUGGGCUGAAUCAAUAAGGGAAAUGCUCAGGACUUGGUGGCCUGGGAUAACUCUGCCAACACAGAAAUGUCCUCUGGAUAAAAGUGACUUUGCUCAUUCUAACAUCACAUUACCUCUGCCUCCUACAUUCCAUCCCUCUCUCUAUUUGAGAUCAUACUCCUCUCCCUAGGCAAUAACAAUAAUCUGUUUCUGCAGCACCAAGUAUUUGCCACUGUGCAUAGGGACACUUGAGGAGUAUAAGCUUUGAAGAGGAAGUCUGGGAGGUGGGGAAAGUAGUCCCAGCCCAUUUUUCUAAAGCUCCAUUCUGGAAAUUAGGGCAAGGUAAUAAAGGCAGUGGCUGGAGAAAGCUGGGGGCAUCCUGGACCCUAAGUACAAGCCUGGGUGGAUAGUUAGCAGAUACGCUUCAAUACAGCACAGAGUCUCAGAAUUGGUCAUUAGCCAUGCCACACUCACUGUUAAAUAUUUAUACUGUUACCCUUAUGCACGGCCAUGGUGGCAUAUUCAUUAGAAACCCAUAAAUGUUGCUACUGAAGGGCCUAAGAAAGCAAAGAUUUGCCAGAUGCCAGAGUCUCCUCUGCAGCCAUCUAUGUUUCAACCCUAAUACUGAUUAUCUCUUGUCUGAAAUCAUCCCAUCCUAGGCCAAAGGUGAGUCCAGUUUCACAACAGCACUAGGAGCCUGCACAAAGAGCAAGAUCUCAGGGAGUUCAACCAAACACUGGAGACCUUGGUCUCUGUCUGGAUCAGACUUAUGGUCUAGCAGAAAGAUAAACUGAAACUGUACAAAAUGAACUAGGGAAAAUGUUGAGCUAUUUUAAAUAAAACACUCAAUUCCCAGUCAAGCAGAUGGAAUACAAAUAGUUAGCUUCCAGUCUCUCAUUGAAACCCCAGGAGAAUAUAGAGGCUUUUUUUUGGCCGGGGGGUGGGGCGGAAGGGAGUGUUAGGAGAAUGGGGGAUAUGAGUAUUAUUUUUAAGUAUUAAUAUAAACUGUAAGAAAAAAGGUCACAGCAACAAAAUAAUUAAAAACUGGAAAGCAAAAGGCCUAGUGUUAACUAAUUUGGAAAAACAAUUAAGAAACAAAACUUGAAUUAUAGAAAGUCAAGAAGAAAUACCAUUUACUCUGCAUAACACCUAAAAUUUCAGGAACUGGAAAAUUCAGGGCUGGAGGUGGGGCUCUAAACAGGAAAGUUAGUUAAAAGUCUGUUUAAGAAACAGACAUCCACACAGUCGGGCAGCCCUCUAGAGAAGUCUGGAGGUUUAUUCCCUGGAGAAGAUAAAACAGGAUGAGAAGAGUAGAAGGUAAGAUAAGGCAGGCAAUGCUCUCUUUCCGAAAACAGAGGGAUUACAUAAAUGCCUACAUGUUGAAUAAUGAGACAUCACACCUUGUUUUUCAAAUAUGAAUUUUCAUAUUUGAAAUCUGUUAAGUACAAUUAAACUGAAAUAAUAGCAAUAAUAAAAAUAAUAGUUACUGUAGCAUAGUGUAAGUCCCACAAUCCCUAACCAAAAUCCUUGAGGUCAGAAUUGUUUCAGAAUUCAGAAAGUUUUUAGUGGGGUCUAGGGCACCCCUGGUAAUUAAACACAUUAAUAUUUCUCCAGUGAAAUGUCUGAAAAGUCAUACUACCUGGGGGAAAUAAGGAGUAAAACUAACUUGACUGUUUAGGUCAAAUUUUGCUGCCAACUUAAUUUUAAUGCCAGACAUUUAAGAAACAAAACAACUUUUGGUUUUCAGAGCUUUCUGGAUUUGAAAUUCUAGAAAUGGAAUCAUGGACCCACAUUUGGAUAAAGGGGCCUAUCCUUCUAUUCUGAUGCAAUUUUAAAAAUAAUCUACUCAAGUUUCCUGGGUCUUAUUUUCUUCGUGAAAUAAAAUAGGGCAAAUAUCUUCAAAAUUAGAUAAUAAAUUAUUGAAGUUAUUACCUCUUUUGCUGAGUUUUUUAUUAGUAUUCAGGAAACUGAUCAGAAUAGUUGAACAGAUUAUUCAAACCAAUUUCAGUCCAAUGACUUAUAACACUCUACAUUAUCCUUCGGGUUGGCACCGAGCUCUCUUUCUUGAUGAUCAGGAUCUUCAACAGUACCUGGAAGAUGGAGAAUUCAACUGCAAACAAACACAAGCCCAGACAAGUCCAGACAGAAUGGUGACAGAAAUGGAGUUUGUCAUCAGUUUCCCAAGCUCAUGACUAUUUAUGCGCCCCGCCCAACCCGGCAUCCAGAAUUUCACAGUCCCACAGUGCCCACACCCUGCCUGGUCUCGCUUCAUUCAAGAGCCUGUCCUCUGGAUUUUGCCCAACCUUCUGUUUCUAAAUCAAAGCCUGGUCUAUGUCCCAUUCCCUGAUGAUCCAGCUUUUUUACACUGUAAAGUUAAAAAUAAAUACACUUAAUUCAUGCAAAUGUGUUAACAAGUUUAUUAAGUCAGUACGUUGCUCUGCCAGGAGCAUUUCAAAUCAAAGCUGCAACCAACAAAGAUACUCAGGGGAAGGGAAUUAACCCUUACUAAGAGCUUAUUAUUUUUCAAAAACUUUGCACAAGUUAUUUCAUUUAAUCCUCAUUUAAUAUCCCCAUGACAGAUUAGUAUCAUAAACCUGUUUUUUUUUUUUUUUUUUUUUCAGGUGAAAAAAUUGCAGCUUUGAGAAGGCAAUUUGUUUAAGGUCACAUAGCGGAUCGGCAGGAGCUUCAAGAUGGGAACCCAUCCUCUUUCCAGCAGGCUGCCCUACCUCCUUAAAGGAGUGAGGCAGUAUAAACACUCUGGCCACCAGCAGGCAGAGGAUUUGAGGCUCCAAGAGCCAACCACAUUCUCUAGCUAUUUCCUUCUUUUUAAUUUCUGUUUACCACUUGAGGCCCACUGAUCAUUAUGCCAAAGACAAAACCAAAAGGCCCAUUCUCAUUACAAUUAUAAAAAUGCUGUACAUAGCUACAGCACUCAUAAAAUUUCCCAACAAGAGAAGACUAAUAAUUAGGGAUGCCUGCUCUAUGAGGUUCACAGAGGGCAGUCAGUUUAGCAUGAAUGUAAAAGAUGAACACAAAAAUCAAAAGUAUGGUUCAUAAAGUGUCCUUGACACAAAAUCAGCAGAUAGAAAAGACCCACCAAAUUAGCCACUGGCAAAUAUGCCCAUGCUUAUUGUGUGCUGUUUAUCCUGGUGUCACAUUGAGGGGAAAGGUAAACACUCUCUUCCUAACUUCAAUCCUCACAUAAACUCCAUGAGGCCAGUUUUCACUGCUACAUCCUCAGUGUGUAGAAAAAUGUCUAAACUGAGGCAACUCAAUAAACACUUGCUGAACAACUGAA